UACAGAGGUCUCAAGCGUUGUUCGGAUUCAUUGGGCGUAAAGGGUGCGUAGGCGGUAGGGUAAGUCUGGUGUGAAAUCCUGGAGCUUAACUUCAGAAAUGCACUGGAUACUGCCCUGCUAGAGGACUGGAGAGGAGAUUGGAAUUCACGGUGUAGCAGUGAAAUGCGCAGAUAUCAGGAAGAACACCCGUGGCUAAGGUGGCUCUCUAGUACGGUACUGACGCUGAGACGCGAAAGCGUGGGGAGCAAACAGG
RNAcentral lists this ribosomal RNA (253 nucleotides) under uncultured prokaryote. Its description in RNAcentral is "partial 16S ribosomal RNA". It matches the Rfam family "Bacterial small subunit ribosomal RNA", at positions 524 to 776 of the family's 1533-position model. The record is from RNAcentral.